UACGUAGGGUGCAAGCGUUAAUCGGAAUUACUGGGCGUAAAGCGUGCGCAGGCGGUUGUGCAAGACCGAUGUGAAAUCCCCGGGCUUAACCUGGGAAUGGCAUUGGUGACUGCACGGCUAGAGUGUGUCAGAGGGGGGUAGAAUUCCACGUGUAGCAGUGAAAUGCGUAGAGAUGUGGAGGAAUACCGAUGGCGAAGGCAGCCCCCUGGGAUAACACUGACGGCUCA
RNAcentral lists this ribosomal RNA (227 nucleotides) under uncultured bacterium. RNAcentral describes it as "partial 16S ribosomal RNA". It matches the Rfam family "Bacterial small subunit ribosomal RNA", at positions 524 to 749 of the family's 1533-position model. The record is from RNAcentral.